This 513-nucleotide ribosomal RNA is filed under the name uncultured bacterium. Its description in RNAcentral is "partial 16S ribosomal RNA". It matches the Rfam family "Bacterial small subunit ribosomal RNA", at positions 28 to 523 of the family's 1533-position model. The record is from RNAcentral.
GACGAACGCUGGCGGCAUGCCUAAUACAUGCAAGUCGAGCGAACAGAUGAAGUGCUUGCACUUCUGACGUUAGCGGCGAACGGGUGAGUAACACGUAAGGAAUCUACCUAUAAGCGGGGGAUAACAUUCGGAAACGGGUGCUAAUACCGCAUAAUAUCUUCUUCCGCAUGGAAGAAGAUUGAAAGACGGCUCUGCUGUCACUUAUAGAUGACCUUGCGGUGCAUUAGUUAGUUGGUGGGGUAACGGCCUACCAAGACGAUGAUGCAUAGCCGACCUGAGAGGGUGAUCGGCCACAUUGGGACUAAGACACGGCCCAAACUCCUACGGGAGGCAGCAGUAGGGAAUCUUCCGCAAUGGGCGAAAGCCUGACGGAGCAAUGCCGCGUGAGUGAAGAAGGCCUUCGGGUCGUAAAACUCUGUUAUAAGAGAAGAACAAAUUGUAGAGUAACUGCUACAGUCUUGACGGUAUCUUAUCAGAAAGCCACGGCUAACUACGUGCCAGCCGCCGCCGAAA